GACGGCAAUACAGGAUUUCGUUCCCCCCCCCAUUCCUUACAAGGGAAAUAAAGGAAGCCGAAGGGAGGGGACUAGGACCCCCGCCUUGGGUCGGGGCCCCCCGCCGAGGUAAUUGGGCGGGAGCUAAAUUUGUCCGGAAUUAUUGGGCGUAAAGAGCUCGUAGGUGGUUCGUCACGUCGGAUGUGAAAAUCUGGGGCUUAACCCCGGACCUGCAUUCGAUACGGGCGAGCUUGAGUUUGGUAGGGGAGACUGGAAUUCCUGGUGUAGCGGUGGAAUGCGCAUAUAUCAGGAGGAACACCGAUGGCGAAGGCAUGUCUCUGGGCCAUUACUGACACUGAAGAGCGAAAGCGUGGGUAGCGAAUUUUAUUAUAUACUCUGGUUUUCCACGCCGUAAAGGGGGGGGGUUAGUUGUGGUAACCUUCCACGGUUUCUGC
Molecule: ribosomal RNA, 434 nt
Filed under: uncultured bacterium
Lineage: Bacteria
Description: partial 16S ribosomal RNA
Rfam family: Bacterial small subunit ribosomal RNA (bases 68-434)
Source: RNAcentral